UUGUCAUUGCCGUGUUAUUUUUUUCGGUGAUGGGUGUGUUCAGUCAAGGUCGCAAAAUAAAUCUGCGCAUAAUUGUAUUGGCCUGGCUUAAAUUAGCACUGGCUCCCACUUAAGCUGAAGCCGUUUCAUUAAAAUUAUUCAUUUGCACCUUGUCCACGUUAAUUCAAGCCAAACUUGUUAAAGCCUCCAUUGUGCACGAACAUCCAGUUCUCUAUAUAAGCAGUGAGAGCGCGGUGUUCUUUACGAUAGCGGGGCAAACAUUACUUUUGGAGCAAUACUAAAAUUGUAAGGAUGUAAUCACAAGGAGAGGGAAAACUACGACGACCCAGUCAGCACAAGUACGUCGGCGCUACGUCGCUGAUACGUUUUUUGAAAGGAAAUACCUCCCAUAACUCCAAGCCAAGACUGUGAACAGGAACACUGGGGUAGGCACUCUCACAGCCACAGGCCCACAGCAUCCAAUGAUCUUUCCCAAGGAGAUUCGCUAUCUUCUCCCUCACAGCUUUCCGACUCCAGCCUUUUCUCGCGUCUCUAUUCUGUGGUUCUUUGUUCCAAGUGUGCCCUGGGCUGGGUUUCCCGAAAGCUUCAUAAUGCUAGUUAGUUCAUCGUCUAGCACUGAAGAUUAUUCGUUAGUUACACUCUCAGAAAAAAAGGUACAAAAUUGUACUUUUGAGGUACAAAAUCUUGUCACUGGGGUGGUGCCCUCAAAGGUACUUUUUUGUACCUCAAGUGAGGGAAACAAAAUUGUACCUCACAUAUUUGUACCUUCUAGGGAGCAAUAUUGUACCUUACAUGAUAGUACAAAAUUGUACCUUUUGCAAGGGUACAAUAUUGUCUCAGUAGGGUACAGCCCCAGUGACAAAGUCAUUUUGUACCUUUAAGUGGCAAAAUGUACCUUCAUAAUGUUUAUUUUCUUAAAGAAACACAAAGAAAACAAGUAAUAUUCUGUAUCAUUUAAUCAGUCAAUUUCUCAUAAAAAGCAAUAUUUACAUACAUAUUUUAAGCAUUUACACAUUUUAGCAAUACUGCAAAGUAACAAACAGUUUGUCAUCCACAUUGUAUAUGUCCAAAGGAUGAUGAUCAACAAUCUCAUGAGGAUCUAGGACAGUCCAGUCCUCAUCACAUUUCACCUCAUAUACAAAGGAAUUAAUAAUUUGCCACACAAAACCCAAUCUGUUAAUAUAUUUACAAUAUAGCUGAUCUGAAAAAACAAUGGAACGUCUUCAGGAUGAAUGUGAGCCACAACAAAAACAUCUUUAACACCAUACUUAACUCUAUUUAUUACUACUUUUUGUACUCUCUGGAGUGUUAAGUCACGAAAAUCAAUAUGUUUGUAUCUCUCAGCAGUUAUGGAAAAUUGAAGUGCAGCAGGAAAAGACUGUAAUGGCAUGCUUAUACCACAUCCAACAACUUCCUCAUACUCUUCCAACAUAUUUGAAAAUUCCCAAGAUUGUCUGUAUUGGUGCCGACUGCUUAAAGUGAAUGCAACAUUUACAAAAUUCUUGCAAGACGUAGCCACCUCUUUAAAGUAUUGAUGUUUGCUUUCAAAUCGCAUACACCACAAAGGCCUUAAAGGCCCAUAAUACAACAUCAAAUGUGAAUAAUGGAUUAAAUAGUGGCAUUUAGGCGUAAUGACAUUCCCAAACUCUUUUUCCAUACCACUCAAAAACUGAAAUAUUAUUUGAUCAAGAUGUAAGAGAGACUCCUUUUUAACAACUGGUGCAGUUAUUAUAUCAUAAAUUUCUCGGCAAAAUAAAUAAAUUUGCCAGUAGCCACAGCCUUCAGGUACCCUAUGUGCCAUUAAAAAUGGAAGCAGGCGGAAUAAACACCACUUUUGUGAGGGUGAUCCUGCAAAACCAAAGUCUUGUAAAAGUUUUUCUGUCAGAGGCACAGGCCUAUUUGUUUUAUCAUUUUGUCCGAAAGACAUAUUUUCCAGUUCAACAUUUAGUUCUUGUAUAGUUAUAUGUUUUUCUCUGUGAGCUCUACAUAUGACAAGCCGCAACACAAGUGGUACUACACCCUCUAAAAAAUCAUGCAUAACAUCUGGAGGCAAGGCUGUAGUGACAUCAAAGUAGGAUAACUGAUCAAACACACAUCUACCACAAACUCUAUAAAGUCCUUUGUUUUCUUGGUUCUGCUGUACACAUUCCAAGUGAUAUUUGUGCACAUCAGUUGUUCUUAAAACAAAAUCUAUCGACAGAUUCUACCAAUAUUAAAGGACAUAUUAAAUCCACCAAUCAUGUGAGAUGCCAAGUUGUCUGCUGAUAUGACAGCUACAGCUCCAUAAACAUGUUCUUGAAUUCCAUUUACAAUAAAACUAAGUCCUUCUGUGGUCAAUUUCUCAAGGUCUUCUAAUAAUGGUUUCAAAAUCACUUCUAAACCAAACUGUUUAACAAAACAGUAUCGUACAAGCAACGCCAGAUGUAUAUGUUUCAACUGUAAACAGUGUUUUGCUCCUAUGUUUCCAACAGUGUAGUAAAGUGCAAACAAUUUGUGCUUGUUACGCUUUGAACCCAAAGCAUUACAGACUUCAAAUUCGUCCCCAUAUAAGUGUAGCAUUAACGCAUCUGGAUGGUCUGCAAAAAAUACGUGAUUCUGGAAAUUAAGGCCAUCUUUAAAAUCAGUAAGUACAUGUUGAUCUCUCUUGCAAUUUUGCUCAGCCUGCAUACAAUCCCAUACCUCCUCACAAGAGCAGUAAUUUUUAAGCACAUCACAAAUAGGGACAUAAGAGUAGCAGCCUACCUUGCGACCACUUGAGUCUCUCAAUGCAUAAUCUACUGGUUCACUCAUUUUAAGUUUAGAUUUACAAUGCUGUUUGAACAUAUGAGGCGAUCUUAUAAGUUUUGCAGCCUCUGAGAAAAAGUCAGGAGACUUUAAAACUGACUGAAGUUCAGGACAAUCAUCAACACUAAAGCCAUUUCUUUCCAGAUGGUAUGUUAGAAAUGAAUCAUAGUUGUCCUUGAAAAAGUCAAAUAGAAAAGUGACAUCAAGUAUUUCUUGUUGCACAGUUUGUUGAAGGAGGUUUUUUUCUCUUCAUUUUAGUACAAAAUUAAAGAGGUUUUCUCUAAAUUGCAGCAAGAGUUCAUCUAUCAUAAGAGGAGCAGGAGUGGCCAAAGAUUCAGCAAUACCACAAGGCCCCUGCUCCUCUUCCACCUCUGUUCCUUGAGUGUGUUCAGUGUCCACAGGCAAUAUAAUGUCUCGAUGCUUCCUGUAUAUAUGAUGUCUUGACUCAUAUUUUGAAAAUGUUGAGACCACAAGUUAUAGUAAAAUUUGGCUCAUGUGCAUGUAUAAGCCCAAUAUGCUGCAGUAGCUUUACAAGAGUGAAGGCCCUUCGAGAGCAUUUUGGACAAGAAAAUGUACGAGGCAUUAAGUUCCUUAAUUUAAAAGGUUAAUAAUUCUGGUCACUGUUGUUGGUAAAGCCUUGUCACUGUCCAAUGAUAUUUUGAGGACAUGGCGCUGAAGGAAGACCAGUGUAUUCUUUAGUUGGGAUGGAUAGGCUAAAUUAAAGACAAAGUAGGAACAAAAUGCUGUAAGGACACCCUGCUCAAGACUUUGUGCUCUGCAAACCGACAACCCAUCCACCUUGAUAACUGCAGAGACUCUUCCUGUGAACAGAGACCUCCAGACUGUGACAUCCUCCACCUGGAUAGUUGGAUAUGGUGAUGUUGGCUCAGCCUAAAAAGGUAAUAAAAUCAGUUUUACAGCAAUAACACAUGUAAUGUGAAACUGUAACAUUAAACGAAUAAAUUACAGAAAAUAAGAUACAUGCUUACCUCCCCAAGAAUGAUGUAAUUCUCAAGUUUCUCCCUGAACAGGAUCGGCAACAGUAGGAUAGCAGAAUUGAAAUCAAUCCCUGAAAGUUCAUUUAAAACAGAGGAAAGAAUAAAUUACGGAAUAAAUUAUGGUUAAUUUACGUGCAAUUAACCAUAAUUACUGUAACUAUCAAAGUAGUGCUGUCUUAAAACUCAGAGUGCAAAACAAUGAACAAAAUUUUCUUAAGCAUGGAAAAAGAGCUAAGACCUAGGUAAUGAGGUAAGGACCUAUACAGAACAGCCUAAGAUAUGGUCAUGUUCUUUUUUAAGAAUAUAAGCAUCCCUACAUUUUCUGGCAGCAAUUGUGACCUCUAGGCAGUAACUAUGUCUCCUGCAGUUGAAAAGACACGCUCACUUGGAACAGAGGUCGCAGGAAUGGAAAGAUAUUCUUUGACAAGUGGAGACGGCAAAGGAUAUUUGGAGCUGUUUUCUCUCCACCAUGUCAGAGGGCAGCAACUAAGUGGGAUAGAUGCCUCUCUUCUGUAAAGUUUAGUUUCCCACUCAAUUCCUUUGCUGGGCUGUUCUGUCUUCGAGAAAGAGUCCCCUAGCAGAUCCUCAAGUGCUGUCUUCUUGGAAGCAGGUUCCUCUUCUGACUCAGCUCCGCCUUCAGCUUCAAGAGCCCCCUCGCCCCCAUGUGUGGAACAAUGAGCUGAUGCCUCUUCCUUGCGCUCCAUACUCUUCUCAUUUGUGGGCUUUAAGCAGCAGAAACACUAGCUUUAACAUUAGCAAGCAGCAAAGCAGUCCCCCUCUCUCUUUUAACACAAAUACACUCACUCUGAUGCUCUCGUGUUUACAACACACACACACACACAGAAACACAGCAUGAACCUAUUAAAUCCAUUUAAAUUUGGUACUGGAAACAUAAAUCUUCUAGGGAAAAAAAAUCAAGUCAAUGAUACCUGGUUUUGCUGCAACUGUUCCACCCUUUUCUGUAUCCUCUGAAAGACUGCCUCACGCUGGUUGCAGUCUAGCUGCGAUAGAGACUGGAAUCUUCGGUCCAGCACAGUGCUCUCCAGCAGGUAUGGCACGAUGAGAGACACUGUGGGCCUCUUCUCUUCACACAAGACAGUGGCAGCUGUCUUUAAAGGAUUCAGCAGCUUCACAAGGUCUUCGGCAUUGACAAUGUCGCAGGUAUCCAGUGUGUCAAUGUUUCGGGCAUUUUGUCUUAUUUCUGGGCUGGUGAGCACUGCUGCUGCUAUAACAGCCUGCUGCUCCAGGUAACGAACCAGCAUAUCCAAUGAUGAAUUCCAUCGCGUGGUGACGUCCAUUAUUAAUUUGUGCGGUGGCAGUUGUAGCAGCUUCUGCUUAGACGUCAGUACCGCGGCAGCUGUCGAACUCCAGUGAAAAAAAGCAGUUACACGUCAGAGAGAUGGAUAAUACCGCAUCUUUCAAAAAGAUUUAUGACCCAAAGGUCAUAAAGGUCACGGGUCAAACGUUCACUGGAUGGGCGGGUCUGGGGCGUGACGUCACCUGGCUGUGAGCCAGCAACGACCAGUGACGUUGGGAGAGGUUUAAUUAUUAAUUAAUUAUUGUUUAUUAAUUAUUUAUUUUUAUAAUAUUUAUUAUUU
Molecule: non-coding RNA, 5380 nt
Organism: Paramormyrops kingsleyae
Lineage: Eukaryota; Metazoa; Chordata; Actinopteri; Osteoglossiformes; Mormyridae
Source: RefSeq, a predicted model, not a curated record